Molecule: ribosomal RNA, 615 nt
Filed under: Escherichia coli
Lineage: Bacteria; Pseudomonadati; Pseudomonadota; Gammaproteobacteria; Enterobacterales; Enterobacteriaceae
Description: partial 23S ribosomal RNA
Rfam family: Bacterial large subunit ribosomal RNA
Source: RNAcentral
AUGGAGCCGACCUUGAAAUACCACCCUUUAAUGUUUGAUGUUCUAACGUUGACCCGUAAUCCGGGUUGCGGACAGUGUCUGGUGGGUAGUUUGACUGGGGCGGUCUCCUCCUAAAGAGUAACGGAGGAGCACGAAGGUUGGCUAAUCCUGGUCGGACAUCAGGAGGUUAGUGCAAUGGCAUAAGCCAGCUUGACUGCGAGCGUGACGGCGCGAGCAGGUGCGAAAGCAGGUCAUAGUGAUCCGGUGGUUCUGAAUGGAAGGGCCAUCGCUCAACGGAUAAAAGGUACUCCGGGGAUAACAGGCUGAUACCGCCCAAGAGUUCAUAUCGACGGCGGUGUUUGGCACCUCGAUGUCGGCUCAUCACAUCCUGGGGCUGAAGUAGGUCCCAAGGGUAUGGCUGUUCGCCAUUUAAAGUGGUACGCGAGCUGGGUUUAGAACGUCGUGAGACAGUUCGGUCCCUAUCUGCCGUGGGCGCUGGAGAACUGAGGGGGGCUGCUCCUAGUACGAGAGGACCGGAGUGGACGCAUCACUGGUGUUCGGGUUGUCAUGCCAAUGGCACUGCCCGGUAGCUAAAUGCGGAAGAGAUAAGUGCUGAAAGCAUCUAAGCACGAAACU